RNAcentral lists this ribosomal RNA (477 nucleotides) under Candidatus Anammoxiglobus propionicus. RNAcentral describes it as "bacterial SSU rRNA". It matches the Rfam family "Bacterial small subunit ribosomal RNA", at positions 365 to 832 of the family's 1533-position model. The record is from RNAcentral. Lineage: Bacteria; Pseudomonadati; Planctomycetota; Candidatus Brocadiia; Candidatus Brocadiales; Candidatus Brocadiaceae.
UUCGCAAUGCCCGAAAGGGUGACGAAGCGACGCCGCGUGUGGGAGGAAGGCCUUCGGGUUGUAAACCACUGUCGGGAGUUAGGAAGUGUAAGGGUGUUAAUAGCGUCCUUACUUGACUAAGGCCCCGGAGGAAGCCACGGCUAACUCUGUGCCAGCAGCCGCGGUAAUACAGAGGCGGCAAGCGUUGUUCGGAAUUAUUGGGCGUAAAGAGCACGUAGGCGGUUCUGCAAGUCGGCUGUGAAAGCCUUCCGCUCAACGGAAGAACAGCAGUUGAUACUACAGGACUAGAGUGCGGGAGGGGAGAGUGGAACUUCUGGUGGAGCGGUGAAAUGCGUAGAUAUCAGAAGGAACGCCGGCGGCGAAAGCGACUCUCUGGCCCGUAACUGACGCUGAGUGUGCGAAAGCUAGGGGAGCAAACGGGAUUAGAUACCCCGGUAGUCCUAGCCGUAAACGAUGGGCACUAAGUAGAGGGGUUUU